AGGGUUUGAUUAUGGCUCAGAACGAACGCUGGCGGCAUGCUUAACACAUGCAAGUCGAACGAAGACCCGGAGCUUGCUCCGGAUCUCUUAGUGGCGAACGGGUGAGUAACGCGUGGGAAUCUACCUUAAAGUGGGGAAUAACUAUUGGAAACGAUAGCUAAUACCGCAUAAUCCCUAAGGGGCAAAGGCUUCGGCCGCUUUUAGAUGAGCCCGCGUUAGAUUAGGCUGUUGGUGAGGUAAUGGCUCACCAAACCUGUAAUCUAUAGCUGGUCUGAGAGGACGAUCAGCCACACUGGGACUGAGACGCGGCCCAGACUCCUACGGGAGGCAGCAGUGGGGAAUAUUGGACAAUGGGGGAAACCCUGAUCCAGCAAUGCCGCGUGAGUGAUGAAGGCCCUAGGGUUGUAAAACUCUUUCAGAAGUGAAGAUGAUGACGGUAACUUCAGAAGAAGCUCCGGCUAACUCCGUGCCAGCAGCCGCGGUAAUUC
RNAcentral lists this ribosomal RNA (488 nucleotides) under uncultured bacterium. RNAcentral describes it as "bacterial SSU rRNA". It matches the Rfam family "Bacterial small subunit ribosomal RNA", at positions 8 to 526 of the family's 1533-position model. The record is from RNAcentral.